Hemicordylus capensis (graceful crag lizard) is the source of this 895-nucleotide long non-coding RNA. RefSeq lists it as uncharacterized. The record is from RefSeq and is a predicted model, not a curated record. The transcript is spliced from 3 exons. Lineage: Eukaryota; Metazoa; Chordata; Lepidosauria; Squamata; Cordylidae.
UGCGACAUUCAGCUCUUUGCCCAGGGUUUGCAACGUUCAUUUGUUUUGGGUGGUGUGGUUCCCCUGUAGUUCUGUGAGGCUCUGUAUUUUUUUUACCUGUAUCUACUUGGUUACUUUGGGUCCUUCAGAGGUAUGCCUGUAUUAAUGGGAAACAGCCCCUGAUGAAGCGCUUUGCGAAACAGCUACUUAUCCUGGAGUGGCUGUUGUGUGCUCUUCCCUGUUUGAUUUGUCAUCCACCAACAGUCAUUACAGAGUAAUUAACCCUUCAGACACAUUACGCGAAAACCCAGCUCCCUUGAGAAGUCCAUAAUUCUGGGGAAAGUUGAAGGAAAGAGAAAAGGAUGACCAGCAGCAAGGUGGAUGGACUUGAUUACAACAACAAGGAAUGCACCACUGGGAGACCUUAAAGGCCAAGCUGAAGACAGAUCAUCCAGGAGAGAAUCUAUCUAUGUGGUCACUAAGAAUUGACACUGACUUGACAGCACUUAAUCGAUCAAUCAACCCUAGACCACCCAAUGGUGGAGUGAGGAACUAACCUGCCUAGGGAGCAAAAGGUUGCAAGUUCAAAUCCCCACGGGUAUGUUUCCUAGACUAUGGGAAACAAGCUCAUUUCUCUGUUUCCCAGACUAUGGGAAACACCUAUAUUGGGCAGCAGCAAUAUAGGAAGGUGCUGAAAGGCAUCAUCUCAUACUGUGCAGGAGAUGGCAAUGGUAAACCCAACCUGUAUUCUACCAAAGACAACCACAGGGCUCUGUGGGUGCCAGGAGUAGAGACUGACUGGACGGCACAACUUUACAACUUAAUUAACUCUAAGACUUUCUGUGACAUCACAUCUCACACGUAUGGAUACCCUAAUCCUCAAUAAUCAACACACUAUACUGCUAAACCAUUUGUG